GACGUAGGGCGCGAGCGUUGUCCGGAUUUAUUGGGCGUAAAGAGCUCGUAGGCGGUCUGUCGCGUCUGCUGUGAAAUCCCGAGGCUCAACCUCGGGCUUGCAGUGGGUACGGGCAGGCUAGAGUGCGGCAGGGGAGAAUGGAACUCCUGGUGUAGCGGUGGAAUGCGCAGAUAUCAGGAAGAACACCGAUGGCGAAGGCAGUUCUCUGGGCCGUAACUGACGCUGAGGAGCGAAAGCGUGGGGAGCGAACAGG
RNAcentral lists this ribosomal RNA (253 nucleotides) under uncultured bacterium. RNAcentral describes it as "partial 16S ribosomal RNA". It matches the Rfam family "Bacterial small subunit ribosomal RNA", at positions 524 to 776 of the family's 1533-position model. The record is from RNAcentral.